RNAcentral lists this ribosomal RNA (293 nucleotides) under uncultured bacterium. Its description in RNAcentral is "partial 16S ribosomal RNA". It matches the Rfam family "Bacterial small subunit ribosomal RNA", at positions 337 to 644 of the family's 1533-position model. The record is from RNAcentral.
GCCUACGGGGCGCAGCAGUGGGGAAUAUUGCACAAUGGGCGAAAGCCUGAUGCAGCAACGCCGCGUGAAGGAAGAAGGGUUUCGGCUCGUAAACUUCUAUCACCAGGGACGAAAGAAAUGACGGUACCUGAAUAAGAAGCCCCGGCUAACUACGUGCCAGCAGCCGCGGUAAUACGUAUGGUGCAAGCGUUAUCCGGAUUUACUGGGUGUAAAGGGAGCGUAGGCGGCGCGUUAAGUCUGAUGUGAAAACCCGAGGCUCAACCACGGGAGUGCAUUGGAAACUGGCGGGCUGG